This 712-nucleotide long non-coding RNA is filed under the name Ananas comosus (pineapple). RNAcentral's name for it is "long non-coding RNA (ACOM_LNC022391)". Lineage: Eukaryota; Viridiplantae; Streptophyta; Magnoliopsida; Poales; Bromeliaceae. The record is from RNAcentral.
UCGAUCAUGCAGAAGGUUGUCGUUUGGUGAUUGCGACAAUCUUCCAUUUUUCUGUUUUAAGUUUGUAUGAGCGUUUAGUUUUGUCACGAAAUCGCCAAAGGUGGAGAUUGUUAAGGAUUUGUCUAAGUUGGUGGAUUUCAUGAAGUCGAUUGGAGUCUUCAAGAGUUGAAGAUGAAGAAUUGAAGCCAAGAUUACAAGAUUUGGGAGAUAAAGACUCGUUCGUGAUGCUCGUUUACUCAAGUAUGUAGGUUAAUAAUUUGUGGUAAAAUUAUACUUGAGAAAAAGUGUUUAGAAGACUUAGGAUUGGUUAUAAACAUAUAAACUGGAAAAUUCUGACUUUUUCCAUGUUCGGGAUCCGGACCCUAAGGAGGAUACGGACCCCGUAGGUCCUCUCUGCAUGAUACGCAGAGAGGGUCCGGAUCUGAGCUUCAGGAUUCGGACCCCGUAGGUCCUCUCUGCAUGAUACGCAAGGAGGGUCCGGACCUGAGCUUCAGGAUCCGGACCCCGUAGGUCCUCUUUGCAUGAUACGCAGGGAGGGUCCGGACCUGGGCUUCAUGAUCCGGAACCCGUACCAUAUAUUUCCUGAUACGCAGAGAGGGUCCGGACCUGAGCUUCAGGAUCCGGACCUCGUAGGUCCUCUCUGCAUGAUACGCAGGGAGGGUCCGGACCUGGGCUUCACGAUUCGGAACCCGUACCAUAUAUUUCCUGAUAC